GGGGAAAUAUUAGGGAAAAUCUUUAAUUGUAACAAAGAAUUUUUUUACCUAUUAAAAAAACCAACCAAACAAAAACAAAAACAACAAAAACACAACCAAAGCAAAACAAAAAUUCCAACCAAACUUUCUUAAGAAAGGAUGCUCUUUUAACGUUUGAUCUUUGUAACUUUCAAGCCUAACCAACAAGAAGGGAUAUUUAGUCCAUGAAACACAUAGUAGCUAACAAGCAAGCUUUAAGUGAUGACCAUGUGUUAGAAAAACAAAUUUUAGUGCUUGACAUGAUCCAGUGAUCUAAGAACUGGGGGAGGGAGUUAGCAUAGCUUGGGAGGAAGGACGUAACCACUAAGAAUGGACACAAAGAGUGCAGAAUUUAUGGGCCACAAGGACAUUUGGCAGGACUCCCAAGAUAAGGAAUAACUCAGUGGUUAUGCUGAAAUCAGCUUCAAAUGAGCAGAAGGUAAUUCUGGUGGGGUGGGGGCAUGGGGGUGUGGCCAUCAACCCAGAGACCACUGAUGCUAGAAACCAACUGACCCAAAAGAAGAGAAAGAUUAAUCAGCAUGGGAAGAGUGGAAUCAUUAACCAUUAGAGAAAACUAAUUAAUAAGAGGACUCUGAAAUUUGUAGCCAAUGAACACUAAUUCCUUAGUUUUUUAAAAUGUAUCAAUUGUUAGAAGUGUUGAUAAUUGCCAUACACGGUAGGUGGAACAAUCCCCCAUGUACCCAAUGCUGAUAAUGUCAACUUUCUAACCAAACAAACUGAUUGGAGAGGUUAUUUCCGUUUCUCUGUGUCCUGCCCAAUCUGGCCUUGAACACUUCCAAGAAUGGGACAGCCACAGCUUCUCUGGCCAACCUGUGCCAGGCCCUCCCCAGCCUCACAGGGAACAAUUCCUUCCUGAUAUCCCAUCCAACCCUGCCCUCUGGCAGUGGGAAGCCAUUCCUCCUUGGCCUGGCAUGCCAGAUCUGAUUAUGAUGCCCCCAUCUACCUGCAGGCCCCCUGUAAGAACUGGGGUGUCACUCUGAGGACUCCCCAGAGCUGUGGAAGAGCUCUGGGGGAGUGAGGUAGGAGCCAGUCCUGGGACAGAGACAGAGAUGCUUCUGGUUUGUGGCUGGAGGUCCUGCGUUCUGGGGUAGGACAGUACCACCCUGCAGAUUUCAGUAUCUUUAUUAAGAAAAAGGCAUAUUACAACAACUUCUAAAGUACAGCUCCAUUCUCUAGUCUCUGGGUCUUAACACCUUCUGAAAAGCACUUGGUUAAAAAGCAAAGUCAACAUGAAUAUCAUCCUGGCAAAACACGGUGACAUGUAGCAAAAUGAACAUUCAAAUGAAGCAGAGCAGGGUCAAACCUUUGGCAUCUGUCCCUCUGUGGCGGGUCUGCUGCUUCCGACAUGCAAAGGUCUGGGGCAUUCCCCGGGCCCGAUAGUCUAAUUCCUGUGAUAAUUGCAACAACAGGAAAGGGGAGCUUUCUUGUAAGCUGCGAGAUGACUGGAAUCUAUGGGGAAGAGCCAGGAGGCAGAACCGCACCCUGGCCAGGGAGGGCCAGGCACCGUGUGGGUGUGGGCUGGGUGCACCUCUCACACACCGGCAGCUUCGCCCCCUGUUCCUGCCCGAACGUGCGAGGAAGGGGAGGGUGAGGUGAAGGACUGGAUGUGGUGGCAGUAUCGAGUGUCACCCUCCGUGUCCUGCCCAGAGGCACCAUCCCUUCAUGGGGCUGGGACAGCAGCGUCCCUGCAGGGCCAGGGGGCAAGGAGGACACAGAGGCAGAAAUGGGGCCCUGGGCAGCAAAGGGCAGCUCUGACGGCGAGGGGACACGGUGCUUUGAUCCUUGUGCUUUACUGGCCGUGGUGUCUGGUGGCUCCUCCACAGCUGCUGUGCUCAUCGGUCCCGAGCUCCUGCUGCUCGCCCAGCCGGCACUCGGCACUGCUGAUCUUACCCACAGAUCUCAGAUACCUGCAUGAGCCAACCCAGAGGCGUAAGGGAGUUCUCUCCCGUCCUGCUGGCAGCCAGGCGCCAACAGUGUAAGACGGUGACAAGAACAGGCGUGCAGCGAGGCGGCGGCAGCGUCACUGCAGCCAGACUGGCUCGUCAGGGAGCUGGGACAUGAGGGCUGGUGUUCCAGCAAAGGCAGGAUGGUGUGGCUUCACUGGGGCAGCAGGAGCCACUUCACAAGGCUGUGCACAAGGACUCUGAAAUGUUCACCUAACCCCCAAAAAUGAAAGUCCCUUGUUGUGCUGCUGAUUUACCUUCCUAUGGGGAGAACUUGGGAAAAGCAGAGCAAUCCCUUCACACUGCUGGCUCCAGCCACUUCAGGCAGGAUGUUUCUUCCUGUGUCACCGCUACCGCUCCUGGGCACUCAGGAAAGAGCACCCAUCAGCUGGGCCGUGGGCCUGGCUUUGCCUGCCAUCAGGCGACCCACAGAAGUUCCCUCGGGAAGCCAGCAGGGCCUGGCCCCAGUUCAGACUGUCUCAGCACAGAGCUGUGCAGCAGUGGGAAGGUUGGGAGCCUAGAGCGGAUGGGAAGAACACGGCUGGGAGUGCUUAGAUUAGCCCUAGCAAACACAUUCAGAAAAUAUGGCUUUUUAGUUAACAGGGUCAAGAAGAAGAACUUCCUGAAUAAUCUGCCCAGGGUUAAAUAAGUCCAGGGGAGCGUGCACCCCGUUGCCAGGACUGGCUCUGCCACAGCGAGUGCAUCUUCCCACACCCACUGCUCACCUCACACCUGCUGCAAGGUGCAUCUGAGACAUCACUUUCUCAGAUAGCAUUAGGAAAAAUAAUGAUAAUAAUAAUAAUAUAACAAUAAUGACAAUAAGGAAGAGAGAUAUUAGCAAACCAAACACAUCAAAUCCAUACACCUCUGCAGAGCUACAGAGCGAAAGGGGGUGCAGAGGAGAGGAGCCCGGCUGUUAGUCUGUAGACAGCUCUCAGCACGUGGUGGUUUACACACACAAGACGUUGUUUAACAACCGAGCGUUAUUGCUAUGCUUCCAUGUCCAGUCUAAUCAUUAACCUUUACAAGUCACCAUCAAACACUGCCCGUUCCAUCGGUGGCGGCGGCGGCGCUCCUCAGUCUGUGCUUUCAGGUGUGCGGCGCAGGUGGAAGCUGCGUGCGCCCUUUGGACUCCCGAGGAGUGCAGAGCACAGAUUAAAUGCACCUACAGGUCCCUGUUACUCCUUACAGGCUAAGGGCAAGCUUGCAGUGCGAGGGGGGAGUCUAUGAGAGCCCCCGCUCCAGGAGGUGAGGGCAGGCCCUGCCUGGGCCCCAGUGGCUCUCAGGCUCCCGGUGGCUCCAGCAGCCUACUCAGUAAAAAAUAGGAAUACUGUCUUUUUGAUUUUUUUUAUCAUUUUGAUCUCUUUGAUCAUUUUAUAUAAAUACAAAGAUUAAAAUAAUUUAUCUCAACAUUAUUUCUAUUACAAUCAUACAGUGUUUUCCCUUCAAAACAAGUGCAUGUAUGUGUGUGUAUAUAUAUAUAUAUAUAUAAGUGUAUAUAUAGUAUCUCUAGAGCUUCCCUCCCCCCUAAGAAAAGCAGCAGUGACUGAAGCAGGUACAGCACGCAAGAGCUGAUCCUUCCUGCUCCAAGGCAAAUGUGCCCAAGGAAAAGUGCAGGGCUCGCCCUGACAACUAAUUUCCAAGCACAUUACAUUGGCAUGAAGGGGGAACUGGGGUGCUCGCUCUCCAUCCCUUUGGAACCCCCCUCGCUGCAGGGGCUCUGCUGCCCACCCGGGCUCCAGACCUGCCCAGCACCGGGAGCACCGGGGAGGGACCUGCAUGGGGCACUGGAAUGAGAUCAACUCCUUGAGCAAGCUGCUAAUUACUGGUGCAGAGGAAAGGGCCCUGCAGCGCAGACAGGGUUGCUUCAUUUACAUACUAGGCACUACGGAUGAUGAUUGCUAGGAAGGUAUUUACACAGGAGAAGGGUCAUACUUCUCCCUCCACUUUCAAUGCUCAGUCAUAAACACCAUGAUCUCAUGAAGAAGUUUGUAAUAAAGAUGCAACAUACUGUGUCUAUCAGGAUUGUCUAGGAAGGAUGGGAAGCAGCCCUCCAAAGCCUGACUAGUCACAUAACAGCCAAAGAAAAAGUACAAAAGCCGCUAAUUUCUGCCCUGCUAGUGCAGCUCAAAUGCUUUGGGGUUUGUUUUUACCAAAGAGCUGGUUGGUGACUGCUGCUGUCAAUCUCAUAAAGCAUUUUAAUAGAGUAUAUAAAUAUUGAACUACAAAAAUAGACAGCUCUGACUGCGCGGGCACACUGAGGGUGAGAGCGGGCAGGCCAAACCUCGCUAGUCUAUGAGGGUGAUGUCUUUCAGGAGGUUUCAAACUGAACUGGAAGGAAACAGGGUCUGAUCUCACUCUGCAGCUCCCUCCUGCCCACACCAGCCGUGGAGGCAGUGGGUCCUGCAGGAGGCUGCUGCCCACCAGCCUGGCAGGGCUGCAGGCAGGGGCCAGGUCCCGGCGGGGCCAGCCAGGCUGGCAGCCCACAUGCCAGGGCAAAACCUGCUCCUUGAGCUGCCCUGAGUGGCACGGGUCCGGCAGCAGCGGGGCAGAGCGACCUUUGCCCUGCCUGGCCGCCAAAGCCCUCUCCUCCCUGCACUAUUUCACAACACCCAGGGAGUGAUUGUAAAACUGAGUUUGGCUGGAAAUGGGGCGAGGCUGCCCCAGCGGGGCCAAGGCAGCUGUACCGCCGCUGUUCUAAGAAGGAUGGGAGGCAAUGGGGGAGGACCAGGGGCUGCUCAGCCCUCAGCAGCAAGCCCAGACCUGGCUGGGGAUGUGAGUGAGAACCAAAAUGCUGGUGCUGAGGAGAGCCCUGUGCAGGGGGCACAGGGUGCAGCCUUGCUCCAGCAGCACAUGGAGCCCGGCUGCAGCCACUGAGUGUCCAGCAGGACUGCCAGUCUUGGCACUCUCCAGCUGCCUUGUCCGAGUCCUGUGUGUGAGCGUGAUGAGGGGAAAUCUGUGCUGGAGACAGCCAAACC
Taeniopygia guttata (zebra finch) is the source of this 4960-nucleotide long non-coding RNA. The record is from Ensembl. Lineage: Eukaryota; Metazoa; Chordata; Aves; Passeriformes; Estrildidae.